RNAcentral lists this ribosomal RNA (244 nucleotides) under uncultured bacterium. RNAcentral's name for it is "partial 16S ribosomal RNA". It matches the Rfam family "Bacterial small subunit ribosomal RNA", at positions 333 to 569 of the family's 1533-position model. The record is from RNAcentral.
CGCUACCUACGGGGGGCAGCAGCAGGGAAUCUUCCACAAUGGGCGAAAGCCUGAUGGAGCAACGCCGCGUGGGUGAAGAAGGUCUUCGGAUCGUAAAACCCUGUUGUUAGAGAAGAAAGUGCGUGAGAGUAACUGUUCAUAUUUCGACGGUAUCUAACCAGAAAGCCACGGCUAACUACGUGCCAGCAGCCGCGGUAAUACGUAGGUGGCAAGCGUUAUCCGGAUUUAUUGGGCGUAAAGGGAA